CUGCUGAAUUAUACCACUGUGCAAGGAAAGAGGAGUUGUCAUGUUACUCCCUCAGCAGAUAUUAAAGUCAAUUUUAAAAGUAUUUCUCUUAUGCAUCAAACAAAUUGGAUGAGCUGAACUUAAACAUUCUGCAGCAGGGUUGGAGGCUGUUUGUUUGUCUGAAGACAAAGUUGGAUUCACUGAUUGCUCACUGCUGCCAGUCAUACUGAGUGAGUAAAGACUUGUGAAGGAGAAAUCUCAGAAGCCUGUAAUCAAGAGGCCAGGUGCUUUGAUUGAUACUGAGGCUGAGACUGUUACGUGGAGCUCCAGGAGCAAUGAGACAAAGAAAUUAUGUUUCCUACACUUCUGUGCCUGUUCAGUGACUGGAGAUGAAAACUUAUUUUCCCUCUUAACAAACCAGGGCAAGUAUUCCAAAGGUGUGCUCUGCAGGCCGGCACAGGACCAAGGGGUUUUGGCAUCGAUAGUCAAUGACUGAAGCAAGUCAUGGUACGUAACCUCCCUUCUCCCUCAACUCCAAAUUGGGAAAUGUGGUACAGGGUAUUAAAGGGUUCUCAUUUACUAAUAAUACUGUAAACAAAUGAUAAUAAAAGUAUUUUUUUACAUUUGGUUCUUUUC
Molecule: long non-coding RNA, 615 nt
Filed under: Struthio camelus australis
Lineage: Eukaryota; Metazoa; Chordata; Aves; Struthioniformes; Struthionidae
Description: lncRNA (ENSSCUG00000011828.1)
Source: RNAcentral